GAUGAACGCUAGCGGCAGGCUUAAUACAUGCAAGUCGAGGGGCAGCAGGACUGUAGCAAUACAGUUGCUGGCGACCGGCAAACGGGUGCGGAACACGUACGCAACCUACCCAAAACUGGGGGAUAGCCCGGGGAAACCCGGAUUAAUACCUCGUAACCUUUUUAAGUGGCAUCACUUGAUAAGUAUAGCUCCGGCGGUUUUGGAUGGGCGUGCGCCUGAUUAGGUAGUUGGUGCGGGUAACGGCCCACCAAGCCUGCGAUCAGUAACUGGUGUGAGAGCACGACCAGUCACACGGGCACUGAGACACGGGCCCGACUCCUACGGGAGGCAGCAGUAAGGAAUAGUGAUCAAUGGACGCAAGUCUGAACCAGCCAUGCCGCGUGAAGGAUGAAGGUCCUCUGGAUUGUAAACUUCUUUUAUGGGGGACGAAACCCGGAUAUUCUUAUCCGAUUGACGGUACCUCAGGAAUAAGCACCGGCUAACUCCGUG
RNAcentral lists this ribosomal RNA (489 nucleotides) under uncultured bacterium. Its description in RNAcentral is "partial 16S ribosomal RNA". It matches the Rfam family "Bacterial small subunit ribosomal RNA", at positions 28 to 507 of the family's 1533-position model. The record is from RNAcentral.